UACGAAGGGGGCUAGCGUUGCUCGGAAUCACUGGGCGUAAAGGGCGCGUAGGCGGAUCUUUAAGUCAGGGGUGAAAUCCUGGAGCUCAACUCCAGAACUGCCUUUGAUACUGAAGAUCUUGAGUUCGGGAGAGGUGAGUGGAACUGCGAGUGUAGAGGUGAAAUUCGUAGAUAUUCGCAAGAACACCAGUGGCGAAGGCGGCUCACUGGCCCGAUACUGACGCUGAGGCACGAAAGCGUGGGGAGCAAACAGG
This 253-nucleotide ribosomal RNA is filed under the name uncultured bacterium. RNAcentral's name for it is "partial 16S ribosomal RNA". It matches the Rfam family "Bacterial small subunit ribosomal RNA", at positions 524 to 776 of the family's 1533-position model. The record is from RNAcentral.